CUUCCCGCAGCCGAAGGGAAAAGUAAGUGGAAGUGGAAUUGAUGAGAACGGUGGUCCAGAGAGGCACUGACAGCGAUUAUAUAUUUGAAAUUCACGGCAGAAUUCGAAAACAGGAUCGGAAGAGAAGAAAACACUUCGUGCUACAACGGGAUAAGCCGCAUACAAAACAUAUAUUUGCAACGACGAGCACAUUGCAAGAUACGCCGGGAACCCAUCGAAUGGAGUCAUUCAUCUGAAGCCUCAGGAUGCUCAAAAAUCUUAAAUCUUUUAAGAAAAUCUUUCAAUACUUUAUUAGAACUUCUGAGAAAUUUCCAUUUCCAUAUCCAACCUUUUCCUGUGAAGCCUAAACCGCAGGGCUUUCCCGGACACUCCUAGUGUCUUCGCUUACCAUCAUGUGUAAUUGAACUUCGCCUUAAAGGACAGAAACUUUUGCCGAUGCAACGGAUAAAACUGGCACGAAAUGCAUUAGGAGUUUGGUAAAGAUGGAUUUUUGGACGAAAAGCAGCUUUCGAAGUCACACCGAUGAAUAUCCUUUUCCGUAAGCAAACAGUCAUUUAUAACCAUUGUAGACGUGCGUUUCCACCUCAAGGAAGUUCUGGAAUUGCUGCACUGCCGCUGGGACUGAGAGUCAGUAGAGAGUAUUGGGGUAUAGUAACUAUUUUCAAAGCACAGAGAUCAGAAGCUCUUCCUUUGGCAGAACUCGUUGUACACUAGAAAACAUCAAAAGUAAGUUCUGGAAUUGGAGGAACUGGUGCAGUGGUCUGAUCGCAACGGAUUGUAAGGCAUAUACAUAUAUUUGUAUGGUAUCCAGAACUCGCUCAUUGGGAUAAUUAAUAUCGAUUACAGCUCAUUAAAGAACAAAGGGAGACAGUGCAUGCUGCAUGCUGUGCAUUCCAGAAUUCGACACCCAUACUUUCCAUCGUUAAAAUGACAAGGUGAGGCUCUGGCCAUGUCUUUGCCGCAAGCGGCUUGCAAUUGUGGCCAAUGCAACAACAGGAGCAGCAGGAACAGCUGGAACAGGAGGAGUAGCAGUAGUCUUUGUGCCUUGGCUACCAUCCAAGGGCAAGCAACAGCGAAGCAGCCGCCAAAGAUAUUAUCCUUCCUUUCCCCGGACCAGGGCCGCUUUUUGCUGCUGCCAUAAUGCCGCGCAAAUUGUUUUUUUUACACAUGUGCGCCCAACAUAUUAAAUUGUUUAUUGGGACAAGCCAUAAACAAAGAAGGACGUCAGCUCACGGGAAGAAAUACACUGAGAGAGCUUCUGGGAGAAGAAAAAUAGCAUUCUUCAGGCCUUAGAUAUUGUUUCUUUCAGUGAAGUGCUCGAGGACGCCUUCGGCACACUUUUGGCAUCCACUUCGAAGGGCUGUCAUCCACUUCCCGAAAAAAGCGACAAUUCGCAACGUGCCAAAAACAAUUUCAUGAUAUUUGAUGACAAUUUGAAUAGCAUCCCCAGGAAGUAGGGAACUCUGCUCAUUGAGGCUUAGCGAAAGUGUAUCCUGUCAAGGGAUAUUAUGCACCGAAAUUAUUGUAGUUGGCACCAAACAAACAACUUUUUGCCAAAGAAACACACAACACAAACAGGACCCCAGAGACGCUGCCAAAAGUCCUACUAAACCAAGUGGCAUGUUUGUCGCGAGGGGGUGCGGCGACACAAGGGGAGCAAUGACGACAAAUGAGUGGACUAUACUAAAUGAUAUUAAUUUAAAGCUAUGAUUUUAACAGACUUUAAUCUGGAUCCAUCUAUCCUGGCAAAGGACCACCGCAACGUUCAAGAAUUUCGUAUUAUUCAAUGAGAAGCCAAAAGAAAAAUCAGCUUUUAAUAGUUUUUUUACAUUUUGGGGUAAGAGGGAGACAAUAUGUAAAUAAAACUCUGACGCCAUUAAACACAUUUUUUCUGGUAGAAUUGGGUCU
Molecule: unclassified non-coding RNA, 1908 nt
Filed under: Drosophila pseudoobscura pseudoobscura
Lineage: Eukaryota; Metazoa; Arthropoda; Insecta; Diptera; Drosophilidae
Description: GA31795
Source: RNAcentral